RNAcentral lists this transfer RNA (57 nucleotides) under Rattus norvegicus (Norway rat). It matches the Rfam family "tRNA", at positions 8 to 63 of the family's 71-position model. Rfam says of the family: Transfer RNA (tRNA) molecules are approximately 80 nucleotides in length. Lineage: Eukaryota; Metazoa; Chordata; Mammalia; Rodentia; Muridae. The record is from Rfam by way of RNAcentral.
UAGCUCAGUGGUAGAGCGCUUGCCUAGCAAACGCAAGGCCCUGGGUUCGAUCCCCAG